UGGGGGCCGGCGAUGCGU
Molecule: small nuclear RNA, 18 nt
Filed under: Arabidopsis thaliana (thale cress)
Lineage: Eukaryota; Viridiplantae; Streptophyta; Magnoliopsida; Brassicales; Brassicaceae
Description: snRNA_12394
Source: RNAcentral